This 72-nucleotide transfer RNA is filed under the name bacterium. RNAcentral describes it as "tRNA-Asn". It matches the Rfam family "tRNA". Rfam says of the family: Transfer RNA (tRNA) molecules are approximately 80 nucleotides in length. The record is from RNAcentral.
UGCCAGAUAGCACAACGGUAGUGCAAGCGGCUGUUAACCGCUAGGUUACAGGUUCGAAUCCUGUUCUGGCAG